AAAACAGCAUAUCGGCAAAAAAUACUUUAUAAUAAAUUAAAAGAUAUUCUUCCAGCCUAGUUGUAACAUUUUGGGUGUGACUGGCAUUAAUUUGAGUAAAAAUAUGGAAAUAAAAAGAUGAAAGUAUGGGGAAAAAUAAAAACAGAACCCGAAGUAAACUUUUUUUCUCACUUAACCAAGAGAAAUACAUUAUUUUAUCUUUACUCCACUUUUUUCUAUCCCUAGCGUAAGUGGACUGAAUAAAUAUUUAUCCUGAUUGGAAAAAAAUAGCGUAACUCAGCUGAAUAGUUUGUUACUCCAAUUUAUUAUCGUCCAUUGUGUCAUUCAAUCACACUUUCUGUUUCUUUCGCAGAUGUACAAUAUAAAGGUGUGAUUGGUUAAAUAAUGGAGUAAAAAAGUGGAAAAGAACAGUGACAAUAUGAUGAAAAGAAAACCAUAUCGCAAAAUCAAGUGUUGAGUCAUUUUUGGUAAUUUUCCUUAAAAAAUGCUAACAAAAAUUCACAAUUCUUUAAUUCAUUAGAUAGAUGACGGAUGUAUCUCUCUACAAAACACAACAACAUCUUCAAGGGGUAUUAGAAACAGCAACUAAACAUUUUCUGUUUUCAAACCCUUUAUUAGCAAAGUCAGCAAGAAACAUAUAUGGUGUGUAACUGUCCAUAUAUAUAACAUUGCAUGAAAACCACAUGCGGCACUAAAUUAUACAAUAUAUAUGUUAUUUUAAACUAUGAUUUGAAUUGAAAAAAAUAUGCACCAAACAUGUCAUCUUUUCCAAAAUUUCAAUUCAAUCGCU
Molecule: long non-coding RNA, 790 nt
Filed under: Brassica napus (rape)
Lineage: Eukaryota; Viridiplantae; Streptophyta; Magnoliopsida; Brassicales; Brassicaceae
Description: long non-coding RNA (BNAP_LNC002436)
Source: RNAcentral